GAAGAAGUAAGGGGGAGGAGGAGGGAAAGGGAAGGAGAGGGGAAAGAGGAGGAGGACUAAGAAGAAUCCGCAGCAGCAACAGCCGCCAGGUUGGAGGGACACGUCUAGGAACUUGUCCGUCUUCAUUAUAGGCCUGUGCCACAGAAAACCAAGAGAAGAUGGUCCAGGACCUAGCAGUCAGCAGAUGCUUGGCAGUAGGAUGGGGCAGCCGAGCUGAAGACAAAGGAUUCCUUCUGCCUUCACCCAUGGGCUGUGCGAAGAAUGGCUAUUGUCAUUUCCCAUGAUGCCAAAGGACCUGACAUCCAGCACUUGAGAGCUGAGGAAGAAGAAUCUUGGGUUCAAGGACAACCUGAGAAAUGAAAUAAGGCUGGUCUCUAAAAAUAAAACAAAAUGAAACCUAACAAACAACCAAACCAACAAACCAC
RNAcentral lists this long non-coding RNA (425 nucleotides) under Rattus norvegicus (Norway rat). RNAcentral describes it as "long non-coding RNA NONRATT032597". Lineage: Eukaryota; Metazoa; Chordata; Mammalia; Rodentia; Muridae. The record is from RNAcentral.